RNAcentral lists this long non-coding RNA (329 nucleotides) under Homo sapiens (human). RNAcentral describes it as "HSALNT0062257". Lineage: Eukaryota; Metazoa; Chordata; Mammalia; Primates; Hominidae. The record is from RNAcentral.
CUGAGGUCUUGCGUUUUGCUUUUGCUGGCCAGGGACGAAGGAUGAACUUACUGCUGUGAAUGUAAAGCAAGGCUUCAAUAAUCAGCCAGCCUUCACUGGAGAUGAACAUGGCUCAGCCAGAAAUAUUGUAAUUAACCCAUCAAAGAUUGGAGCUUAUUUUAGCAGCAUAUUAGCUGAGAAACUGAAGCUUAACACUUUCCAGGACACGGGAAAGAAGAAACCACAAGUUAAUGCUAAAGAUAAUUAUUGGCUGGUUACUGCUCGAUCCCAGAGUGCAAUUCAUAGUUGGUUUUCUGACUUAGCAGGAAAUAAGCCACUUUCUAUUUUGG